Molecule: long non-coding RNA, 969 nt
Organism: Oncorhynchus tshawytscha (Chinook salmon)
Lineage: Eukaryota; Metazoa; Chordata; Actinopteri; Salmoniformes; Salmonidae
Exons: 3
Source: RefSeq, a predicted model, not a curated record
GCCAAAUUACCAUAAACAAGGUUGAUGUGGUUCAAUUCAACAUCAAAACAAGGGACAACAAUUGUUUCUCUGUACCUGUCAGAGUUACCUUGUUGGAUAAUGCCUUCAUUAACAGGUAAGUAACUCUGGGAUGCCGUUGUCCCAGCCACGGUGGGUCUUGCUGGGCUGCGGCAGUGAGCCCGAAGUGGGUGUCUGAAGGACUGAGCGACCUUGACACCAGCCUGACACAACGGGCCAUUCUUGCAGCAGGCUGGACGGAAUGAGUCAUUGAGGCACUGUAGUCUGGGACUUUGUCUUGCACCCUCCACCCACCCUCUUUUCCCUCCCCUUCCCCAUCUGUGUGUGGCCACCAACCGAAAGGUCUAUUGCUGUAUACCACCGAUAGCUCCCGAAAAUCUAGAGAGGCCUCCUUGACUCCACAAAGGAGCCUCUAUGCUCUGGACGGGAGCGUCUGAAUGGGAGCCUUCUUUUCUCUGUAACAUCAAUGGGGCUCCUUCUGCGCGCUCUGUAGACUUGGGCCUUCAAAGAACCAUCCCUGUGGCGUUUGAGGCCAUAGCACUCCCCUCCUAUGGCCUUCCGUUCUCAUUUCAAAUCACAACACUGGCGGCUCGUAACGGACGAGGCUCUCGCCAAGAACGGGAUGGAGUUCCUUUGGCUGAUCCUGACACUCUGCGCCCUGGUCAAAACCAACCCAGCAGAUGUAAUCACGAACGGACCCCCUAAGGGAAUCGUUCUCCGCAAUGAUCCAGGAUUCCUUAUAACUAACUGCAGAGUACUAACGCAGAGGGUGUUCGUCCGCCUAGAUGCAGAGAACAUGUACCGCCAACACAUUCCACCUUCGGCGCAUUUGAGUUGGACUGGGGCUGACUGGACCACCUAGGCAGAGGACCUGAACGCUGGGACUAUGCCUCAGGACUACCUGGCCAGAUGACUCCUUGCUGUCCCCAGUUCACCUGGUCAUGCUGCUGC